RNAcentral lists this ribosomal RNA (229 nucleotides) under uncultured bacterium. Its description in RNAcentral is "partial 16S ribosomal RNA". It matches the Rfam family "Bacterial small subunit ribosomal RNA", at positions 104 to 334 of the family's 1533-position model. The record is from RNAcentral.
CGGGGUGAGUAAUGUCUGGGAAACUGCCUGAUGGAGAGGGAUAACUACUGGAAACGGUAGCUAAUACCGCAUAACGUCGCAAGACCAAAGAGGGGGACCUUAGGGCCUCUUGCCAUCGGAUGUGCCCAGAUGGGAUUAGCUAGUAGGUGGGGUAACGGCUCACCUAGGCGACGAUCCCUAGCUGGUCUGAGAGGAUGACCAGCCACACUGGAACUGAGACACGGUCCAG